Molecule: non-coding RNA, 29 nt
Filed under: Homo sapiens (human)
Lineage: Eukaryota; Metazoa; Chordata; Mammalia; Primates; Hominidae
Source: RNAcentral
UGGCAGGUCUCGGUCUUUGAGUUCAAAUU